This 1366-nucleotide ribosomal RNA is filed under the name Lactococcus lactis subsp. lactis. Its description in RNAcentral is "bacterial SSU rRNA". It matches the Rfam family "Bacterial small subunit ribosomal RNA", at positions 73 to 1427 of the family's 1533-position model. Lineage: Bacteria; Bacillati; Bacillota; Bacilli; Lactobacillales; Streptococcaceae. The record is from RNAcentral.
UGGGUAACCGUACUGGUAGGAUGCACGCGGAACGGGUGCAGUAACGCGUGGGGAAUCUGCCUUUGAGCGGGGGACAACAUUUGGAAACGAAUGCUAAUACCGCAUAAAAACUUUAAACACAAGUUUUAAGUUUGAAAGAUGCAAUUGCAUCACUCAAAGAUGAUCCCCCGUUGUAUUAACUAGUUGGUGAGGUAAAGGCUCACCAAGGCGAUGAUACAUAGCCAACCUGAGAGGGUGAUCGGCCACAUUGGGACUGAGACACGGCCCAAACUCCUACGGGAGGCAACAGUAGGGAAUCUUCGGCAAUGGACGAAAGUCUGACCGAGCAACGCCGCGUGAGUGAAAAAGGUUUUCGGAUCGUAAAACUCUGUUGGUAGAGAAAAACGUUGGUGAGAGUGGAAAGCUCAUCAAGUGACGGUAACUACCCAGAAAGGGACGGCUAACUACGUGCCAGCAGCCGCGGUAAUACGUAGGUCCCGAGCGUUGUCCGGAUUUAUUGGGCGUAAAGCGAGCGCAUGUGGUUUAUUAAGUCUGGUGUAAAAGGCAGUGGCUCAACCAUUGUAUGCAUUGGAAACUGGUAGACUUGAGUGCAGGAGAGGAGAGUGGAAUUCCAUGUGUAGCGGUGAAAUGCGUAGAUAUAUGGAGGAACACCGGUGGCGAAAGCGGCUCUCUGGCCUGUAACUGACAGUGAGGCUCGAAAGCGUGCGGGAGCAAACAGGAUUAGAUACCCUGGUAGUCCACGCCGUAAACGAUGAGUGCUAGAUGUAGGGAGCUAUAAGUUCUCUGUAUCGCAGCUAACGCAAUAAGCACUCCGCCUGGGGAGUACGACCGCAAGGUUGAAACUCAAAGGAAUUGACGGGGGCCCGCACAAGCGGUGGAGCAUGUGGUUUAAUUCGAAGCAACGCGAAGAACCUUACCAGGUCUUGACAUACUCGUGCUAUUCCUAGAGAUAGGAAGUUCCUUCGGGACACGGGAUACAGGUGGUGCAUGGUUGUCGUCAGCUCGUGUCGUGAGAUGUUGGGUUAAGUCCCGCAACGAGCGCAACCCCUAUUGUUAGUUGCCAUCAUUAAGUUGGGCACUCUAACGAGACUGCCGGUGAUAAACCGGAGGAAGGUGGGGAUGACGUCAAAUCAUCAUGCCCCUUAUGACCUGGGCUACACACGUGCUACAAUGGAUGGUACAACGAGUCGCGAGACAGUGAUGUUUAGCUAAUCUCUUAAAACCAUUCUCAGUUCGGAUUGUAGGCUGCAACUCGCCUACAUGAAGUCGGAAUCGCUAGUAAUCGCGGAUCAGCACGCCGCGGUGAAUACGUUCCCGGGCCUUGUACACACCGCCCGUCACAACCACGGGAGUUGGGACGUAAACU